GACGAAGGUGGCUAACGUUAUUCGGUGUCACUGGGCUUAAAGGGUGUGUAGGCGGUUUGGUAAGCGCUUUGUGAAAUACCUCAGCUCAACUGAGGAAUUGCUUGGCGUACUGCCAGACUUGAGGCAAGCAGGGGUACAUGGAACUCUUGGUGGAGCGGUGGAAUGCGUAGAUAUCAAGAGGAACGCCGAUGGUGAAGACAGUGUACUGGGCUUGUUCUGACGCUGAUACACGAAAGCGUGGGGAG
RNAcentral lists this ribosomal RNA (245 nucleotides) under uncultured bacterium. RNAcentral describes it as "partial 16S ribosomal RNA". It matches the Rfam family "Bacterial small subunit ribosomal RNA", at positions 524 to 768 of the family's 1533-position model. The record is from RNAcentral.